Molecule: long non-coding RNA, 890 nt
Filed under: Mytilus galloprovincialis (Mediterranean mussel)
Lineage: Eukaryota; Metazoa; Mollusca; Bivalvia; Mytilida; Mytilidae
Source: RNAcentral
GUUUGUUUAGGUGGUGAAGUCUGUAUCUCAUAUACUAUUAUAAACAACAGGUCAACUAUAUGUGGCAUGUGGAUUGAUUGUAAGAUGUACAUGUCCAAAUGGUGGGUUUCAUCUGACCUUGACCUCAUUUUCAUGGUUCAUUGGUCAAAGUUAAUUUAUUGUGCUUUGGUCUAUUUCUUAGAUACUAUUAGUAGGAGAUCAGCUGUAUCUGGUUUAAGAAAUGAUUGUAAGAUGUACUUGUCUGUCUGGCUGGUUGUUCUUUACCCACUGAAGAAAUGAUUGUAAGAUGUACUUGUCUGUCUGGCUUGUAAGAUGUACUUGUCUGUCUGGCUUGUUAGAUAUUCUUGUCUGUCUGGCUUGUAAGAUGUACUUGUCUGUCUGGCUUGUAAGAUGUACUUGUCUCUCUGGCUGGUUGUUCUUUACCAUUUUCAUGGUGCAUGUUGGACAAUGUUAGGUUUUUUUCCUGUUUAUGUUCUAUAUUUAUUUCUCAGGUACUAUAAGCAUGAUAAGUAAUAAGGCCAUUAUUUUUGGUGAAUUGAAUUAUUGUAAUGUUUACAUGUCUGUCAGUCAUGUCAGUGGGCAGAUUUCAUCUGAACUUGACCUUAGUUUUAGUCAAAGUUAAAUUUUCAUGGUUAUGUCUGUUAUCUGAUAUUAUAAGCAAUAGGUCAACGUAAUUUGGUGUACAACAUGAUUGUUGGAUGAGCAUGUCUGACAGUGUUGUCUGACAUUAACCCUUUUCAUGGUUCAUUAGUCAAUGUAAAUUUUAGUAAUAAUUAUUUUUCUGAUUUUAUAUUAGAUUUUUAUUAUUCAAUGUUGUGAUUGUAUUGAUACAAUUAUCAUGAUUAUGUAAAAUGUAUAAACAUAUUUAUAAAAGCAUGUAAUAUUAAAAC